CUACACUGUGGAAGGUUUGUGUUUUGGCUCUUUGCAAUAAAUCUUGCUACUGCUCACUCUUUGGGUCCACAAUGCUUUUAUGAGCUGUAACACUCACCUCGAAGGUCUGCAGCUUCACUCCUGACGCCAGCGAGACCACGAACCCACCGGGAGGAACGAACAACUCCAGACGUGCCGCCUUAGGAGCUGUAACACUCACUGCGAAGGUCCGCAGCUUCACUCCUGAGCCUGCGAGACCACGAACCCACCGGAAGGAGGAAACUCCGAACACAUCCGAACAUCGGAAGGAACAAACUCCGGACACGCCGCCUUUAGAACUGUAACACUCACCGCGAGGGUCCGCGGCUUCAUUCUUGAAGUCAGUGAGACCAAGAACCCACCAAUUCCGGACACAGAGAUAGAUCCUCCCAAAGGAUGGGUGCCUUCAUUCACUCAAGAAAUACCUUGCCUGUGGUGAUGGGACUUUUCCUCUGCUGGAUGGAAGACAUCUGUUCCCCCGAAUAGAUCCAUUACAGGAGGACUUGCAAUCUCCUUAUGGGCAACAACUGUAAAUACGCACACCCCAGCCUCAGUGGAUGUCAAAGAAACUGCUUCAAGGCUAGAACUACCCAGAUAAGAC
This is a long non-coding RNA of Symphalangus syndactylus (siamang), 619 nucleotides long. RefSeq lists it as uncharacterized. Lineage: Eukaryota; Metazoa; Chordata; Mammalia; Primates; Hylobatidae. The record is from RefSeq and is a predicted model, not a curated record.